AUUGAACGCUGGCGGCAGGCCUAACACAUGCAAGUCGAACGGUAACAGGAAGAAGCUUGCUUCUUUGCUGACGAGUGGCGGACGGGUGAGUAAUGUCUGGGAAACUGCCUGAUGGAGGGGGAUAACUACUGGAAACGGUAGCUAAUACCGCAUAACGUCGCAAGACCAAAGAGGGGGACCUUCGGGCCUCUUGCCAUCGGAUGUGCCCAGAUGGGAUUAGCUAGUAGGUGGGGUAACGGCUCACCUAGGCGACGAUCCCUAGCUGGUCUGAGAGGAUGACCAGCCACACUGGAACUGAGACACGGUCCAGACUCCUACGGGAGGCAGCAGUGGGGAAUAUUGCACAAAGGGCGCAAGCCUGAUGCAGCCAUGCCGCGUGUAUGAAGAUGGCCUUCGGGUUGUAAAGUACUUUCAGCGGGGAGGAAGGGAGUAAAGUUAAUACCCUUGCUCAUUGACGUUACCCGCAGAAGAAGCACCGGCUAACUCCGUG
This 490-nucleotide ribosomal RNA is filed under the name uncultured bacterium. RNAcentral's name for it is "partial 16S ribosomal RNA". It matches the Rfam family "Bacterial small subunit ribosomal RNA", at positions 30 to 507 of the family's 1533-position model. The record is from RNAcentral.